RNAcentral lists this ribosomal RNA (91 nucleotides) under uncultured bacterium. RNAcentral's name for it is "partial 16S ribosomal RNA". The record is from RNAcentral.
CCCGUCACAUCACGAAAGUGGAUUGUACUAGAAGUCUGUGCGCUAACCCGCAAGGAGGCAGCGCCCAAGGUAUGAUUCAUGAUUGGGUGUA